GAUGAACGCUGGCGGCGUGCCUAAUACAUGCAAGUCGAACGAAACUUCUUUAUCACCGAGUGCUUGCACUCACCGAUAAAGAGUUGAGUGGCGAACGGGUGAGUAACACGUGGGCAACCUGCCCAAAAGAGGGGGAUAACACUUGGAAACAGGUGCUAAUACCGCAUAACCAUAGUUACCGCAUGGUAACUAUGUAAAAGGUGGCUAUACUACCGCUUUUGGAUGGGCCCGCGGCGCAUUAGCUAGUUGGUAGGGUAAAGGCUUACCAAGGCAAUGAUGCGUAGCCGAAUUGAGAGGUUGAUCGGCCACAUUGGGACUGAGACACGGCCCAAACUCCUACGGGAGGCAGCAGUAGGGAAUCUUCCACAUUGGGCGAAAGCCUGAUGGAGCAACGCCGCGUGGGUGAAGAAGGUCUUCGGAUCGUAAAACCCUGUUGUUAGAGAAGAAAGUGCGUGAGAGUAACUGUUCACGUUUCGACGGUAUCUAACCGGAAAGCCACGGCUAACUACGUG
Molecule: ribosomal RNA, 512 nt
Filed under: uncultured bacterium
Lineage: Bacteria
Description: partial 16S ribosomal RNA
Rfam family: Bacterial small subunit ribosomal RNA
Source: RNAcentral